GAUGAAGAACGUAGCGAAAUGCGAUAAGUAAUGCGAAUUGCAGAAUUUCCGUGAGUCAUCGAAUCUUUGAACGCACAUUGCGCCCCUUGGUAUUCCGGGGGGCAUGCCUGUUCGAGCGUCAUUACAACCCUCAAGCUCUGCUUGGUCUUGGGCGUCACCGGUCCCCGGUGUGCCUUAAAAUCAGUGGCGGCGCCAUCUGGCUCUAAGCGUAGUACAUACUCUCGCUACAGACGUCCGGUGGAUGCUGGCCAGCAACCCCCAAUUUAUCAAGGUUGACCUCGGAUCAGGUAGGGAUACCCGCUGAACUUAAGCAUAUCAAUAAGCGGAGGA
RNAcentral lists this unclassified non-coding RNA (330 nucleotides) under soil metagenome. Its description in RNAcentral is "partial contains 5.8S ribosomal RNA, internal transcribed spacer 2, and large subunit ribosomal RNA". The stretch from base 1 to 121 matches the Rfam family "5.8S ribosomal RNA", at positions 35 to 154 of the family's 154-position model. The record is from RNAcentral.